This 2324-nucleotide long non-coding RNA is filed under the name Homo sapiens (human). RNAcentral's name for it is "HSALNT0293314". Lineage: Eukaryota; Metazoa; Chordata; Mammalia; Primates; Hominidae. The record is from RNAcentral.
GCGAGGGUCCGCAGCUUCAUUCUUGAAGUCAGUGAGACCAAGUUCCGGACACAUUCUCAGGGCCAAAAUGGCUGACUAGAAGCAGCUACAGUGUGUAGCUCUCAGGGAGAGGAAGGAAAGGGAAGAGUAAAUACAGCACCUUCAACUGAAAUAUCCAGGUAUUCACAUUGGGACUGACCAGGGAAACAGCUGGACCCACAGAGAACGAAGAAAAGCAGGGCAGGGUGAUGGCCUGCACGAGAGUGACACGGAGCCAAGGGAACCUCCCCCUCCCAGGGAAGUGGGCAUGAAAGGUUCAAAUAGAAAAGCAGCAUGGUGAUGGGGCUGACUGUUCCAGAAUUGAUGUGCCCGUGCUCCGUGAGGAACGCAGCUCAUCUGUACCAGCAAAUGUGUUGGCUCCUGCCUGCAAUUGUAUCAUUCAGGUGUGCAUUGUAAAAACAAUUCACGGAUAAGCACAGGUGCCAUUAAGAACAUUCAUGAUUCAUGGGAGGAGGGCAAAAUAUCAACAGUAACAGGAGUAUGGAAGAAGUUGAUUCCAACUCUCAUAAAUGACUGUGAGAGGUUCAAGACUUCAGUGGAGGAAGUAACUGCAGUUGUGGUGGAAAUAGCUAGAGAACUACAAUUAGAAGUGGAACCUGAAGAAGUGACUGAGUAGCUGCAACCUAUGAUAAAACUUGAAUUGAUGAGGAGUUACUUCUUACAGAUGAGCAAAUAAUUCUGAAGGAGAAUCAGUAGAGACACUGAAACAAUGAAAUAUCUGAAUAUUAACAAUAUGAUUUUGGAUCAAAUGCAUUUCAGAAUCUGAAUGAAUGAAGAAUAUGAACAAGUUGCUCUGGCAAGAACUUCCAGUACAGCGUUGAUGAGCAGUGGUAAAAGGAUUUCACUGUUUUCUGCUAUCUGGAUUUUCCCAAAGAUCCGCUAAAUCCUAAACUUCAUCUUGGUCUGAAGAAGGGCAAGUCCUCUCUCCAGCUCUUCAUUUGCUGACUCUCACUGAUGCAAGAAGAAUGAAGUCUCUUACCUGCCUUCUCCUAGGACAUCCUGGGAGAAACUGUGACUGCUGGUGUGUUCUCAAAACUCACCAACAUGAUUCUCCUUGUGGCUAUAUGACUCUAGAAAGGGAAUUUAAAUAAAAUGAUAACAAUUAACAGAUACUUUUAUGUAAACAACCGGUAGUGACCACUAUACUAGUUGGUUUGUAUUUACCAAAUUCCAUGUCUGAGGCCAAGAAUUUAUCUCUAAAUCCUCUGGGAUAAAAAUCCAGCAUCUCAUCUUUUUUUCUGCCAGCUGUAAAAACAUUGCAGGAAGGUACUGAGUACUUUUUGUUGUUGUUUUCUCCUUUCUUUGAAUCUUUGGCUUUGACAAGCAUGGAAUGAAAAUCAUAUAGAGCAUGGAGCUUAUAGCAAAGGAGAAUGUAGAGGCAAAGAGAAUAAAAAUGCUGGGAUAAUUUCUUGAAAAAUUACUUAGAGGAAGAUGUCUUAUUUUUGUGUCAUAUAACCUCUCACAUGGUUCUUGAAUGUUGCUAACUAUGGCUAGCAGUGCGAUUUCCAACAAGUAAACUGUAAUCUAGCCAAUGCUGUGAGAGUUGUACAUGUCAACCAAGGGUCAAAUAUGGCUAUACCUGUCAAGAGUUGCAAAGUAAAUGUAGAAUCUUACUUUCCCGAGGUACAUAUAAUUUAAGUUUCUUGUUCUGUUCUUUACUGUGGCAUUAUUAAAACUUAAACCCACGCCAUUUUCCUACUGAGUCACUUUCAAUGCAUAAGAAUAUGCUUUCAAGCUAUAACUGCAUCAAUACCUGUGAUUGUACUUUCUAUUGAGAAUACAAAUGCUUUUUCCCCCCUUCAGAGCUGUCAAAGCUUCUGAUGCUGAAGAGUUGAUCUUGGAAAAUGCAGGUUCAGUCCUGCUACCAGCAGAAAGUGAAGAAAGUCCUUAAUUUCACAAUCGAUGUCAUCCUAACGAUGCCAGUAUAAUAAUGGUGCAGAAAACAUACUUCAUUGAUUUUAUCUUUUUCUAUUUGGGAAGGCAAAAUUAAUCAUUCAUCUGAUCUGUGAUGUGACAAGUUAGAUAUCAUAUUCUGUUAAAAUCAGUUAGUUGUCGAUCAAAAUCAACAGUGCUUUUUCUUCAGAUUGAUUGGCACUAAAUUCUUCAUAGCUUAAGAAAUUUGACAUUUUAUAUAAGAACUCAAACAGCAUGGAGCCACAAUUUUAUUGUCGAUUAUAACAUGCCUGUAAUUGACAAGUAAGUAAGUAAACACCUGUUUGGUGUGAUCCAUUCAUCUUAAUUCCAUUGUGGUCCCAUGCUUUUGCUUUAAUUUUAUGCUUGCUAUA